AGCCUCUAGUGCCCAGCGAACCAUUUCCGGAGCUCCCCAAGUCACCAGGCAAAUCCAAGUCUGCCACACACAGGUUUAGGACCUGCUGGCAGGAUCCUGACGUCGCGGCUCGCGACAAGUGGCGCCCGAACAGGGACCUGAAAGAAUGAGGAUAUGCAAUCCCGGACCCAGGUCGAAGGUAGCGACGGUGCUCCGGAGGACUGACCGCUGCGCCUGAUCCACGCAGUAAGUCUACCGUUCACUUCAUGAACUCCGGACCCAGGUCGAAGGUAGCGACGGUGCUCCGGAGGAAGGUAAAAAGAAAGUAAAAAUAAAAUAAAAUAAAAAAUAAAAAAA
This 336-nucleotide long non-coding RNA is filed under the name Fukomys damarensis (Damara mole-rat). RNAcentral's name for it is "lncRNA (ENSFDAG00000026734.1)". The record is from RNAcentral. Lineage: Eukaryota; Metazoa; Chordata; Mammalia; Rodentia; Bathyergidae.